GUGCAGCAGGCGCGAAAACUUUACAAUGUGCGAAAGCACGAUAAGGGAACUCUGAGUGCCUCCUAAGGAGGCUGUUCAGGUGUCUAAAAAAGCACCUGAAGGAAGGGCUGGGUAAGACCGGUGCCAGCCGCCGCGGUAACACCGGCAGCCCAAGUGGUAGCCACGUUUAUUGGGUCUAAAAGCGUCCGUAGCCGGCUGGGUAAGUUCCUUGGGAAAAUUUGGCUGCUUAAACAGUCAAGCUUUCAGGGAAUACUGCUCGGCUUGGGACCGGGAGAGGUCAGAGGUACUCCAGGGGUAGGGUGAAAUCCAUUAAUCCUUGGGGGACCACCGGUAGCGAAGGCGUCUGACCAGACCGGGUCCGACGGUGAGGGACGAAGGCUAGGGGCGCGAAACCGGAUUAGAUACCCCGGUAGU
Molecule: ribosomal RNA, 414 nt
Filed under: uncultured microorganism
Description: bacterial SSU rRNA
Rfam family: Archaeal small subunit ribosomal RNA
Source: RNAcentral